This 99-nucleotide ribosomal RNA is filed under the name uncultured bacterium. Its description in RNAcentral is "partial 16S ribosomal RNA". It matches the Rfam family "Bacterial small subunit ribosomal RNA", at positions 1384 to 1482 of the family's 1533-position model. The record is from RNAcentral.
UACACACCGCCCGUCACGCCAUGGAAGUUGGUUUUACCUGAAGUAAGUGAGCUAACCGCAAGGAGGCAGCAUACCACGGUAAGAUUAAUGACUGGGGCG